This is a long non-coding RNA of Tachysurus fulvidraco (yellow catfish), 399 nucleotides long. RefSeq lists it as uncharacterized. Lineage: Eukaryota; Metazoa; Chordata; Actinopteri; Siluriformes; Bagridae. The transcript is spliced from 3 exons. The record is from RefSeq and is a predicted model, not a curated record.
UACUUUCAUUUUCUCAGUUAUCCUCCCCUCCCCUCUGCAGCAAAAGAGAAAGAAGAAUCAGCAGUCGAGAGGAAGACGAGCUGAGCUGCACACUUAGAACCGCAGAUAGAGAAACACACACAGACCUUAAAUCUAACUCGGGCUACAGGGCUACAGUGUCUAAUAUCAAGAAUGGCAAAUAUUGUAGAUGCAGUCAGGGGAUUAUUUACAACCAAACCUGCAACCUGCAAAAGAGAAAGAAGAAACAGCAGUCGAGAGGAAGACGAGCUGAGCUGCAAACUUAGAACAGCAGACAGAGAAACACACACAGACCUUAAAUCUCACUCGGAGCUUCACACAAGGGCUACAGUAUCCAUCCAUCCAUCCAUCCAUCCAUCCAUCCAUCCAUCCAUCCAUCCA